RNAcentral lists this ribosomal RNA (484 nucleotides) under uncultured bacterium. Its description in RNAcentral is "partial 16S ribosomal RNA". It matches the Rfam family "Bacterial small subunit ribosomal RNA", at positions 28 to 507 of the family's 1533-position model. The record is from RNAcentral.
AUUGAACGCUGGCGGCAUGCUUUACACAUGCAAGUCGAACGGCAGCGCGGGCUUCGGCCUGGCGGCGAGUGGCGAACGGGUGAGUAAGGCAUCGGAACGUGCCCAGUAGUGGGGGAUAGCCCGGCGAAAGCCGGAUUAAUACCGCAUACGACCUGAGGGUGAAAGCGGGGGACCGAAAGGCCUCGCGCUAUUGGAGCGGCCGAUGUCGGAUUAGCUAGUUGGUGGGGUAAAGGCUUACCAAGGCGACGAUCCGUAGCUGGUCUGAGAGGACGACCAGCCACACUGGGACUGAGACACGGCCCAGACUCCUACGGGAGGCAGCAGUGGGGAAUUUUGGACAAUGGGGGCAACCCUGAUCCAGCCAUGCCGCGUGCGGGAAGAAGGCCUUCGGGUUGUAAACCGCUUUUGUUCGGGAAGAAAUCCUCUGGGCUAAUACCCCGGGGGGAUGACGGUACCGGAAGAAUAAGCACCGGCUAACUACGUG